Papio anubis (olive baboon) is the source of this 105-nucleotide non-coding RNA. The record is from Rfam. NCBI's taxonomy places the organism in Eukaryota, Metazoa, Chordata, Mammalia, Primates, Cercopithecidae.
GUCUACAGCCAUAUCACCCUGAACAUGCCCAAUCUCAUCUGAUGUUGGAAGCUAAACAGGGUCAGGCCUGGUUAGUACUUGGAUGGGAGAAAAUUAUUAUAGAAC